Mirounga angustirostris (Northern elephant seal) is the source of this 1151-nucleotide long non-coding RNA. RefSeq lists it as uncharacterized. The record is from RefSeq and is a predicted model, not a curated record. The transcript is spliced from 3 exons. Lineage: Eukaryota; Metazoa; Chordata; Mammalia; Carnivora; Phocidae.
AGUUCCGCCUUCUUCGGCUGGUGGAGGGAGCUUUCCCGCGGAUGGGUAUGGCGGUGGGCGUUUGUUCAAAGCUUCGUCGCCACAGAAAGCGGCUUCGAGGCUUCGUCGCCACAGAAAGAAGCGUUUCGCUGUGAGAUGCUGCGCGACUGACAGAAGCAUCUGUCAUAGUUAAGCACCUAGGUUUAAAUAUAAUGUUUGAAGAUGAUUGAAUCCUUACUGGUACCGUCCCCCGCGACAAAAACCUUUUAAAAAAAUAUGGCUUCUACUGUUUCCACCCUCGUGUUCUCUGUUGCUCCUAAGGGAUUUCUAGAUGACCGGCGAUGCGGCUUUUUAGAAGAUUCUGAUGAAUAUUUUGCCGCUUUCUCAUUCUCACCGAAAUGAGUUCAAGAUGGUGCCGGUUAAUUGGCUAUUACUGAAACUAGGGUCCGCCUGAGGGAAUUCUGUAAACUGUCCACACAGCUUUUUGUGAAGUGGGAGUGACCCUAACCGACCUCCCUGCUGGUAUUGUACUUUUGGGGCCUUCACGAGAUUGUUGGCACCUGGAUGACUAAAUCUUCAAGUUAUCAUAAAUCAAGACCACAAGCCAAAAAGUAACAUAGGAAAUAAAAAAGACUGGAUCAUUUUAUCAGGUUUUACGCAGUUUCAUUACAGAAGUCUGUAUAGUAGGCUCCAUGCUCAACAUGGAACCCAACACGGGGCUCAAACUCACGACCCUGAGGUCAAGACCUGAGCUGAGAUCAAGAGUUGGAUGCUGACCAACUGAGCCACUCGGGGCCCCCCGAAAAUGUUUCUUUCUUAAACAUUAAAAGAGCAAACAGAAAACUAGUAAGUAAAACUAAAUGACUGUAUAGCUGUUGUUGGAUUCUAUUUUCUUUCUAAUAUUACCUCAGAGACCACAGUGUUUCCCAAAUAGAAUAUAGACAUCACUUGUGUGCUUAGAGCAGUAGAACCAUAAGCUACUUGAAGAACUAAGUUUAUCUCUUGCCUUUGGGCAAUAAUGGUGGCCUAAUAUUUCCUGUCUCUUUCUGAAGCUCUUAUAAUAGUUAAAUGUUAAAUUGCCAUGAAAUAUUUGCAGCAGAUAUGAUAAAUGAAGGAUUGGGAUCCUUAUUUUGAAAAUAAUACUAAUGGGAAAACUGGGCAAAGAAGAAUUA